AAUGUGUCGGGCCGGGUCGGGCUCGGGCACAAUGUGCACGGGCUCGGGUAGGGUCGGGCUUGAUUUUUUGGGCCCGAUCUAAGCUCUACACUAGAUCAAAGAACAUGUAAUAUUGCAG
Molecule: long non-coding RNA, 118 nt
Organism: Alosa sapidissima (American shad)
Lineage: Eukaryota; Metazoa; Chordata; Actinopteri; Clupeiformes; Clupeidae
Exons: 5
Source: RefSeq, a predicted model, not a curated record